Molecule: long non-coding RNA, 1756 nt
Filed under: Sus scrofa (pig)
Lineage: Eukaryota; Metazoa; Chordata; Mammalia; Artiodactyla; Suidae
Description: lncRNA (ENSSSCG00070023388.1)
Source: RNAcentral
GGAGGGCCUUGUCCGUCUGGCUUGUAGAAGAAACUUGGCCUUGUAAGGUUCCACCUGGCUCGUCCUGGGUCACAAGCCUGGCCAAUGUUCCUUCCUCAGUCUGGCUUUUAGAUUUCAAUUAGAUUCAAAAUUGAGAGGCUUCAUUGCUCAUAUGGGCACGUCUCAUAUUCCUUAAGUUUUAGGAGAAACUGAAACCCACCCUUGAGCCCAUGGGUGGGCCUUUGGUUUUUCCUAGUCACCCCCCCGCCCAGGGACCUGGCUGGCACAACCAUCUCUUGUGGCCUCUUUGCUUGGUCAAGUCAUGUUACCUCUGUGGCCCCUUCCUGGCUAAGGAGCUCUGGUGACAGAAAUGGUAGGUAGCUCCUUCUGUUUUUUUUUCAUCCUGGCCUUUAACCCACAGAAGUCACAACUGGCUUUUGGACGAGGCUUCCCCAGAAGAAAGGGAGGAAGGACAAGCACAGCAGUGGUUUGGCUGCAACAUUCAAAGACCUGAAAAUAUGGAAGCAGGCUCUGGGGAAGAGGAGCACUGAGAAUAGCAGCCGUGAAUACGGGAAGUGCUGAGCCCAGGGCUCUUUGGAGGAGCUGUGGCUUCGUUCUGGAGCCUGUUAGUCUCUACAAAGAGGACACUCAGUUCCGAACUGCCCCCCCCCGGGGCCGGCCUGCAAGGUGGCAAGGGUCACCCAGCUGGUUCUCUCAGUCUUUUGCCCAAUAUCUUCAAUCCAGACUUGUCUGUCUCCGCUCACUAUAUUUUGCACAUCUUAAGGGGCCAUGAAAGGAAAAGUUCAUGUUAAUCAUACUGAAGAUGUGUUCACUCGGCAUGAUUUAUUGAGAACUGAUGUGUGCCCCGUUCUCGAAUUCAAGGAUGAACUGGAACUCACUGCCUGAUGUCAUUAUAUGGUAUCGUGUGACCAGCAGCAUAAAGAGGCACAUACACAGAGCUCUGGAGCCCGGAGAGGAGAGAGACUGAGGGCCCUGAAAGAGCCAAGAUCAUCUUUCCAAUGGGUUUGCAAAGCGUGCACGUGAACUUGACCAAGAGGAAAGCAAAGGGCGGGUGAGGCAGAAGGGCUGCAUGUGCUGGGAGGAGAUGAAGAGUUGGGCACAACGGGGGAAGAGUCAGGAGUGGACAAAGGUGAAGCCAGGAAGAUACAGGGGCACGGACAGCAGGCUUGGGAACUUGAAUUUUACGCCAUAAUAGUGGAUGGUUUUUAUGCAAAUGUUAGAUGGGAUCUUAGUACUAUAUUUCAGAAUACUAAAUUUAUGAUAGGUAUGAUAAAUAAUAACAUUAAUUACAAAUGAUGAUGGUGACGGAAAUACAAAUAGCAAGUCUCUUCAUCAUAUGUCAGUGGUGAUGGGAUGUCACUCCCAUGAUUAGGUGGUAUAUAUAAACAUCCGUCUUAGUGAACUAGAGGCAGAGAUUCUUCUGCUAGCCCCGAGGAAACAAACUACCAUAUUGUGAACUGCCUGUGGAGAGGGCCACGUGCCAGGGAUCUGGGGGCAGAUUCUGGGAUCUGUGUUGGCCUCCAGCCAACAAAGGCUAGGGUCCUCAGUCACACACUGCCAAGGAAAUGAAUUCUGUCAACCAUCUGAAUGGGCUUGGAAGCAAAACCUUCUCUAGUCGAACCUCCAGAUGAGAACAUAACCCAGUCAGCACUUUGAGUGAAGCCUUGGAAGAUGCUAAGCAGAGCUGAGUCAUGCUGGGACCCAAGCAAACUGUCAUAGAAAUAAAUGCAUGUGUUUGUUUUAAGCUGCUGGUUUU